GGAGGGAUGGCAGAGCGGCUGAUUGCGGCGAUCUUGAAAAUCGCUGGAGGUUUACGCCUUCCGGGGGUUCAAAUCCCCCUCCUUCCG
RNAcentral lists this transfer RNA (87 nucleotides) under Desulfovibrio piger. It matches the Rfam family "tRNA". From Rfam's summary of the family: Transfer RNA (tRNA) molecules are approximately 80 nucleotides in length. Their secondary structure includes four short double-helical elements and three loops (D, anti-codon, and T loops). The record is from Rfam by way of RNAcentral. Lineage: Bacteria; Pseudomonadati; Thermodesulfobacteriota; Desulfovibrionia; Desulfovibrionales; Desulfovibrionaceae.